UGGGGAAUAUUGGACAAUGGGCGAAAGCCUGAUCCAGCCAUGCCGCGUGUGUGAAGAAGGUCUUCGGAUUGUAAAGCACUUUAAGUUGGGAGGAAGGGCAGUAAGCGAAUACCUUGCUGUUUUGACGUUACCGACAGAAUAAGCACCGGCUAACUCUGUGCCAGCAGCCGCGGUAAUACAGAGGGUGCAAGCGUUAAUCGGAAUUACUGGGCGUAAAGCGCGCGUAGGUGGUUCGUUAAGUUGAAUGUGAAAGCCCCGGGCUCAACCUGGGAACUGCAUCCAAAACUGGCGAGCUAGAGUAGGGCAGAGGGUGGUGGAAUUUCCUGUGUAGCGGUGAAAUGCGUAGAUAUAGGAAGGAACACCAGUGGCGAAGGCGACCACCUGGGCUCAUACUGACACUGAGGUGCGAAAGCGUAGGGAGCAAACAGG
RNAcentral lists this ribosomal RNA (429 nucleotides) under Pseudomonadota bacterium. RNAcentral's name for it is "Proteobacteria bacterium partial 16S ribosomal RNA". It matches the Rfam family "Bacterial small subunit ribosomal RNA", at positions 355 to 776 of the family's 1533-position model. The record is from RNAcentral. Lineage: Bacteria; Pseudomonadati; Pseudomonadota.